AAAAAAAAAUCGAUCCUCCUUUUCUCUUCGAGCUCUCUUCACUGUUAACUUCCAAAUUUGAAUGGAAACCCUAACCAGAGACCAAUAUGUUUACAUGGCAAAACUCGCCGAGCAAGCCGAGCGCUAUGACGAGAUGGUCAACUUCAUGGAAAGUCUCGUGACUUCCUCUGCUCCAGUAACCGAACUCUCCGUUGAGGAGCGCAACCUCCUCUCCGUGGCUUACAAGAACGUGAUCGGUUCUCGUCGUGCCGCGUGGCGGAUCAUCUCAUCGAUUGAGCUGAAAGAGGAGAGCCGCAAGAACGAUGACCACGUGGCGAUGGUUAAAGAGUAUAAGUCGAAGUUGGAGAAUGAGUUAUCCGGUGUGUGUGGGACCAUACUGAAGUUGCUGGACUCGCACCUGGUGCCGUCGGCUACUUUGAGUGAAUCGAAAGUGUUUUUUUUGAAGAUGAAGGGAGACUAUAAUCGGUACUUGGCUGAGUUUAAGGUUAAUGACGAGAAGAAAGCCGCAGCUGAGGAAACAAUGUUAGCUUAUAAGGCAGCUCAGGGGUCAUGCCAAAUGGAUUUGUCUCUAAAUAAGCCAAACCGGAGAGUUUUUCAUUGUAUUUUAUUUUAUUUUUUAAGUUUGUGUGGUCGUGGAUGUGUAAUUUUGGUUUAUUUACUUGAGUUUGAAGGAAAUCGCACUGGCUGAGCUAUCACCCACACAUCCGAUAAGGUUGGGGCUGGCACUCAAUUUCUCUGUGUUUUACUAUGAAAUUCUGAAUUCAUCGGAGAAAGCUUGUAGCCUUGCAAAACAGAUUAAGAAGCAGAGAUAUGAUGGUUGCAAGCUGUUGAUGCCUAGAUGUUUAAACGAUCUUUAAUUACUAUCAUGCUACAUAUAUGUGUGUAUAACCUGAUAGCAAUUAAAGAUCAUUUAAUCAUCUAGGUAAAAAGCAUGAUAUUUUACCAUGCUUAAUUUUGGAAGAGCUAUUGCUCGAUCCUUUUAUUGGCCUUUGAGGAAGCCAUUGCUGAGCUGGACACUUUGGGUGAAGAGUCCUACAAGGAUAGCACUCUCAUCAUGCAAUUGCUGAGAGACAACCUCACUCUUUGGACUUCAGACAUGCAGGAGCAGAUGGAUGAGGCU
Molecule: RNA transcript, 1120 nt
Organism: Pistacia vera
Lineage: Eukaryota; Viridiplantae; Streptophyta; Magnoliopsida; Sapindales; Anacardiaceae
Gene name: 14-3-3-like protein GF14 kappa
Exons: 5
Source: RefSeq, a predicted model, not a curated record